UUCUGGUGUCUCAGGCGUGAAGGAACCACACCAACCCAUCCCGAACUUGGUGGUGAAACUCUAUUGCGGUGACGAUACUGUAGGGGAAGCCCCAUGGGAAAAUAGCUCGACGCCAGGAU
This 119-nucleotide ribosomal RNA is filed under the name Bazzania praerupta. Lineage: Eukaryota; Viridiplantae; Streptophyta; Jungermanniopsida; Jungermanniales; Lepidoziaceae. The record is from RNAcentral.